This 1489-nucleotide long non-coding RNA is filed under the name Mus musculus (house mouse). Its description in RNAcentral is "predicted gene, 36445". Lineage: Eukaryota; Metazoa; Chordata; Mammalia; Rodentia; Muridae. The record is from RNAcentral.
GCGACCCCCGACCCUGCGACCUCUGACUCGAUCACCCGUGACCCCGUAAUACCCCACCCUGCGAGCCCCGACCCCAAGACCCUUGACCUCUCUAACCGUGAACCACUCGUGACUCCGAGUCUCCCGACCCCGCCACCCACGAUGCCGCAACACCCCACCACUCGACCUCUGACCCUGCCCACGCGCUGUCCCUUGGCGCCCCCGCCUGCGCCCGACCAGCACGAGGCCGGAGGAGGACGACGACGACAACAGGACCUAGAGAGGAUUCAGUGACUUAUGAUGAUGUGCAUGUGAACUUCACUAAAGAAGAGUGGGAUUUGCUGGAUCCUUCCCAGAUGAAUCUCUACAAAGACGUGAUGCUGGAGACCUACUGGAACCUCAUUGCUAUAGGCUACAAUUGGGAAGAUCAUCAUAUUGAAGAACAAUGUCAAAGUUCUAAAAGUCAUGAAAGGUAAUUUUCUUUUUUGGGGGGGGUGGGGGGUUGUUUUUGGUUUGGUUUUUGGUUUUUGGUUUUUUGAGACAGGGUUUCUCUGUGUAGCCCUGGCUGUCCUGGAACUUACUUUGUACACUAGGCUGGCCUCAAACUCAGAAAUCCGCCUGUCUCUGCCUCCCAAGUGCUGGGAUUAAAGGCAUGUGCCACCACCGCUCGGCAUGAAAGGUAAUUUUCAUGUGCAAGCUGAUACAACUAUGCCUCUGAGGAAAUUUUAAUAUGUUCUGGAAGCACUAAGGAAAAGCAAGAGUGUCAAAUAUCAGUCCUUUAAGUAUAGCUAUAAUUAUAAUAUUCUCACAAAACCAUGUACCUCAAUGUCAGUUAUCUAAUUUUUGUUUGCAAGGUAUUCCUCUAAGAAAGAAGACAAGGAAAUAUGCCUUAAGAGAUACCUUUAUUUGAUAUGUAGCUCCAUUAGAGCUAUGCUGUAGAACUACUAAUCUGUAUAGUAUCAUAAUAUUUAGAUGCUGCACAUUGAAUAGUGAUAAAUAUAUAUCCAAAACCUUCUGAUAAGCAAAUAGUUCAUUGUAAAGUUGGUGAUACUCAUAUUCUUGUAGUGACAUUGCUAAGUUUAUUGGUCAGCUUAUGAGUGUCAGGAAUGUUUUCAUGAAGAAACCUUAAUCCAUAUACCACAUGUCUACAAGAAACAAAAAGUCAUAUGGUGUGAAUGCAAUGUGGAAACCUUUCAUUUAUUCUUCUUCUCUUAAUGGAUGUAUCAAGUGUCAGAAAUGAUAAAACCAUGUGAGCAUAAGGCUAUUGAAAGGACCAAUGUAACUGUUGUUCCAUUUUUAUUCAGAUACAUGAAAUACAUUAUAUAGAAAUCUCAUAUAAAAAAAAGGAUGUUAUAAAAUGAUUUAUCAGGGUAUAAUGAGUAUGGUAAAACUUUCAUAUGUGCCGAAUAUCAUUGCAGGAAUGUAAGAAGUCAUAGUGGAGAGAAACCCUAUGAAUGUAAUAAGUGUGGUAAAGCCUUUGCAAGACCCAUUUAUCUCCAAAAUCAUAAAA